UGGGGGAUUAGUGGCGAACGGGUGAGUAACACGUGAGUAACCUGCCCUUGACUCUGGGAUAAGCCUGGGAAACUGGGUCUAAUACCGGAUAUGACUGUCUGACGCAUGUCAGGUGGUGGAAAGCUUUUGUGGUUUUGGAUGGACUCGCGGCCUAUCAGCUUGUUGGUGGGGUAAUGGCCUACCAAGGCGACGACGGGUAGCCGGCCUGAGAGGGUGACCGGCCACACUGGGACUGAGACACGGCCCAGACUCCUACGGGAGGCAGCAGUGGGGAAUAUUGCACAAUGGGCGCAAGCCUGAUGCAGCGACGCCGCGUGAGGGAUGACGGCCUUCGGGUUGUAAACCUCUUUCAGUAGGGAAGAAGCGAAAGUGACGGUACCUGCAGAAGAAGCGCCGGCUAACUACGUGCCAGCAGCCGCGGUAAUACGUAGGGCGCAAGCGUUAUCCGGAAUUAUUGGGCGUAAAGAGCUCGUAGGCGGUUUGUCGCGUCUGCUGUGAAAGACCGGGGCUCAACUCCGGUUCUGCAGUGGGUACGGGCAGACUAGAGUGAUGUAGGGGAGACUGGAAUUCCUGGUGUAGCGGUGAAAUGCGCAGAUAUCAGGAGGAACACCGAUGGCGAAGGCAGGUCUCUGGGCAUUAACUGACGCUGAGGAGCGAAAGCAUGGGGAGCGAACAGGAUUAGAUACCCUGGUAGUCCAUGCCGUAAACGUUGGGCACUAGGUGUGGGGGACAUUCCACGUUUUCCGCGCCGUAGCUAACGCAUUAAGUGCCCCGCCUGGGGAGUACGGCCGCAAGGCUAAAACUCAAAGGAAUUGACGGGGGCCCGCACAAGCGGCGGAGCAUGCGGAUUAAUUCGAUGCAACGCGAAGAACCUUACCAAGGCUUGACAUGAACCGGUAAUACCUGGAAACAGGUGCCCCGCUUGCGGUCGGUUUACAGGUGGUGCAUGGUUGUCGUCAGCUCGUGUCGUGAGAUGUUGGGUUAAGUCCCGCAACGAGCGCAACCCUCGUUCUAUGUUGCCAGCGCGUUAUGGCGGGGACUCAUAGGAGACUGCCGGGGUCAACUCGGAGGAAGGUGGGGACGACGUCAAAUCAUCAUGCCCCUUAUGUCUUGGGCUUCACGCAUGCUACAAUGGCCGGUACAAAGGGUUGCGAUACUGUGAGGUGGAGCUAAUCCCAAAAAGCCGGUCUCAGUUCGGAUUGGGGUCUGCAACUCGACCCCAUGAAGUCGGAGUCGCUAGUAAUCGCAGAUCAGCAACGCUGCGGUGAAUACGUUCCCGGGCCUUGUACACACCGCCCGUCAAGUCACGAAAGUUG
This 1316-nucleotide ribosomal RNA is filed under the name Paenarthrobacter sp. RNAcentral's name for it is "bacterial SSU rRNA". It matches the Rfam family "Bacterial small subunit ribosomal RNA", at positions 85 to 1413 of the family's 1533-position model. The record is from RNAcentral. Lineage: Bacteria; Bacillati; Actinomycetota; Actinomycetes; Micrococcales; Micrococcaceae.